This 475-nucleotide ribosomal RNA is filed under the name uncultured cyanobacterium. RNAcentral's name for it is "bacterial SSU rRNA". It matches the Rfam family "Bacterial small subunit ribosomal RNA", at positions 1 to 524 of the family's 1533-position model. Lineage: Bacteria; Bacillati; Cyanobacteriota. The record is from RNAcentral.
UAGAGUUUGAUUCUGGCUCAGGAUGAACGCUGGCGGUAUGCUUAACACAUGCAAGUCGAACGGAGUGCUUCGGCACUUAGUGGCGGACGGGUGAGUAACGCGUGAGAAUCUGGCAAAAGGUUCGGGACAACAGUUGGAAACGACUGCUAAUACCGGAUGUGCCUGUGGGUGAAAGAUUAAUCGCCUUUUGAUGAGCUCGCGUCUGAUUAGCUAGUUGGUGUGGUAAGAGCGCACCAAGGCGACGAUCAGUAGCUGGUCUGAGAGGAUGACCAGUCACACUGGGACUGAGACACGGCCCAGACUCCUACGGGAGGCAGCAGUGGGGAAUUUUCCGCAAUGGGCGAAAGCCUGACGGAGCAAUACCGCGUGAGGGAGGAAGGCUCUUGGGUUGUAAACCUCUUUUCUCAGGGAAUAAGAAAGUGAAGGUACCUGAGGAAUCAGCAUCGGCUAACUCCGUGCCAGCAGCCGCGGUAAU